This 251-nucleotide ribosomal RNA is filed under the name uncultured archaeon. RNAcentral's name for it is "partial 16S ribosomal RNA". It matches the Rfam family "Archaeal small subunit ribosomal RNA", at positions 731 to 982 of the family's 1478-position model. The record is from RNAcentral.
AGAUACCCCUGUAGUCCCAGCCGUAAACUAUGCUCGCUAGGUGUCAGGCAUGGCGCGACCGUGUCUGGUGCCGCAGGGAAGCCGUGAAGCGAGCCACCUGGGAAGUACGGCCGCAAGGCUGAACUUAAAGGAAUUGGCGGGGGAGCACCACAACGGGUGGAGCCUGCGGUUUAAUUGGACUCAACGCCGGGAAGCUCACCGGAUAAGACAGCGGAAUGAUUGCCGGGCUGAAGACUCUGCAUGACUAGCUG